This 85-nucleotide transfer RNA is filed under the name bacterium. RNAcentral's name for it is "tRNA-Leu". It matches the Rfam family "tRNA". From Rfam's summary of the family: Transfer RNA (tRNA) molecules are approximately 80 nucleotides in length. Their secondary structure includes four short double-helical elements and three loops (D, anti-codon, and T loops). The record is from RNAcentral.
GCCGGGAUGGCGGAAUGGCAGACGCAGUGGACUCAAAAUCCACCGGACCUUAGGGUUCAUAAGGGUUCAACUCCCUUUCCCGGCA